RNAcentral lists this ribosomal RNA (538 nucleotides) under Saccharomycopsis guyanensis. RNAcentral's name for it is "eukaryotic LSU rRNA". It matches the Rfam family "Eukaryotic large subunit ribosomal RNA", at positions 71 to 607 of the family's 3401-position model. Lineage: Eukaryota; Fungi; Ascomycota; Saccharomycetes; Ascoideales; Saccharomycopsidaceae. The record is from RNAcentral.
GGGAUUGCCUCAGUAACGGCGAGUGAAGCGGCAAAAGCUCAAAUUUGAAAUCUAACGCCUUCGGUGUUCGAGUUGUAAUCUGAAGAACUUUUCCUUGAGUAUGCCUUUAUCUAUGUUUCUUGGAACAGGACGUCAUAGAGGGUGAGAACCCCGUAUGAUUUGGGCCUCUGCUCGUUGUGGGAUUUGUUCGAAGAGUCGAGUUGUUUGGGAAUGCAGCUCUAAGUGGGUGGUAAAUUCCAUCUAAAGCUAAAUAUUGGCGAGAGACCGAUAGCGAACAAGUACAGUGAUGGAAAGAUGAAAAGAACUCUGAAGAGAGAGUGAAAAAGUACGUGAAAUUGCUGAAAGGGAAGGGCUUUAGGUCAGACUUGGUGUUUAAUGAUUAUCUUCUCUUCUUGAGUUGUGCACUCGUUUUCCACUGGGCCAAUGUCAGUUUUGGCGGCAGAGUACCUCUUGGAAUGUAGCUAUCCUUCGGGUUAGUGUUAUAGACUUGAGACGAUCUGCUUGCCGGGACUGAGGACUGCGCAUUAUUGCUUGGACA